CCAAUAUUGGAUUCUAAAGCAAGGGCAAUUUCGUUAAUUCCCAUUAGCAUUAAGAAACCCUAAUGCCGCAUAAAUCUCACUAUAAAAACAACUUUUAACCUAACCUUUCUUUUGGUCAUUCUUUGAAGAGAGGUUUCUCUUGGAGGAUUAGGUUUUCUUGGCUAUUGGAAUCUCAAGCUUUUGAUUUGUAAUCAGUUUCAACAAUUGGUGUUUUCAAGAAGAAUUUGAUUUGAAAUCCGAUUGAUUCAUGGUGGAUGGUUAAGAGAAGCGUUGGCACAACGACUGCAAAUUAGUUUCAACAAUUAGUGUUUUCAUGAAGAAACUAGUUUCAAGAUAUGGUUGAUUCAUCUAGUGAUCGUUAAGAAAGCGUUUGUCCAAGGAUUGCUUGAAACAUGAUCAAUUUGUUAUGGAGCGCAUGAGAUCUUCAAAAGCCUGGAAAGAUAGUUUCAUGGUUUCUAUUCCUGGGUCGCAAGUAAUUAUGGGUAGGUUGCUUUAAGUGUAAACAUGUGUGCACGUGAACAUUGCCUAGUAUUGUUAGUAUCAAUACGUAACAGAUUUAUGCGUUAU
This is a long non-coding RNA of Pyrus x bretschneideri (Chinese white pear), 567 nucleotides long. RefSeq lists it as uncharacterized. The transcript is spliced from 2 exons. The record is from RefSeq and is a predicted model, not a curated record. NCBI's taxonomy places the organism in Eukaryota, Viridiplantae, Streptophyta, Magnoliopsida, Rosales, Rosaceae.